RNAcentral lists this ribosomal RNA (253 nucleotides) under uncultured bacterium. RNAcentral describes it as "partial 16S ribosomal RNA". It matches the Rfam family "Bacterial small subunit ribosomal RNA", at positions 524 to 776 of the family's 1533-position model. The record is from RNAcentral.
UACAGAGGAGCCAAGCGUUGUCCGGAUUGACUGGGCGUAAAGCGCACGCAGGCGGUCGCGCGCGUGGGGUGUGAAAUCCGGCCGCUUAACGGCCAGGCGCCAUCCCAUACGGCGCGACUGGAGUGAUGCAGAGGUCGGUGGAAUUGCCGGUGUAGUGGUGAAAUGCGUAGAUAUCGGGAGGAACACCAGUGGCGAAGGCGACUACCUGGCCCAUUCUUGACGCUGAGGCGCGAAAGCUAGGGGAGCGAACGGG